This 600-nucleotide ribosomal RNA is filed under the name uncultured bacterium. RNAcentral's name for it is "bacterial SSU rRNA". It matches the Rfam family "Bacterial small subunit ribosomal RNA", at positions 765 to 1362 of the family's 1533-position model. The record is from RNAcentral.
GGAGCAAACAGGAUUAGAUACCCUGGUAGUCCACGCCCUAAACGAUGAAUACUAGAUGUUUGGUGCCAAGCGUACUGAGUGUCGUAGCUAACGCGAUAAGUAUUCCGCCUGGGAAGUACGGCCGCAAGGUUAAAACUCAAAGGAAUUGACGGGGGCCCGCACAAGCGGUGGAGCAUGUGGUUUAAUUCGAUGCAACGCGAAGAACCUUACCUGGGCUUGACAUGUCUGGAAUCCUGCAGAGAUGCGGGAGUGCCCUUCGGGGAAUCAGAACACAGGUGCUGCAUGGCUGUCGCCAGCUCGUGUCGUGAGAUGUUGGGUUAAGUCCCGCAACGAGCGCAACCCUUGUCCUUAGUUGCCAGCGGUUCGGCCGGGCACUCUAGGGAGACUGCCGGUGACAAACCGGAGGAAGGUGGGGAUGACGUCAAGUCCUCAUGGCCUUUAUGUCCAGGGCUACACACGUGCUACAAUGGCGCGUACAGAGGGAAGCCAAGCCGCGAGGUGGAGCAGACCCCAGAAAGCGCGUCGUAGUUCGGACUGCAGUCUGCAACUCGACUGCAUGAAGUCGGAAUCGCUAGUAAUCGCUGGAUCAGCAUGCCGCGG